GACGAACCGAGCGAACGUUGUUCGGAAUAACUGGGCUUAAAGGGCGCGUAGGCGGGCUGUCAAGUUUGGGGUGAAAUCCCGCGGCUCAACCGUGGAACUGCCUCAAAUACUGACGGUCUCGAGGGAGGUAGGGGCGAGCGGAACUGAUGGUGGAGCGGUGAAAUGCGUUGAUAUCAUCAGGAACUCCGGUGGCGAAGGCGGCUCGCUGGACCUCUUCUGACGCUGAGGCGCGAAAGCUAGGGGAGCAAACGGGAUUAGAUACCCCGGUAGUCCUAGCCCUAAACGUUGGGUACUAGAUAGUGGACUAGACAUGGGUUCACUGUCGAAGCAAAAGUGCUAAGUACCCCGCCUGGGGAGUAUGGUCGCAAGGCUGAA
This 375-nucleotide ribosomal RNA is filed under the name uncultured bacterium. Its description in RNAcentral is "bacterial SSU rRNA". It matches the Rfam family "Bacterial small subunit ribosomal RNA", at positions 524 to 898 of the family's 1533-position model. The record is from RNAcentral.